GUGGGGAAUCUUGCGCAAUGGGCGAAAGCCUGACGCAGCCAUGCCGCGUGAAUGAUGAAGGUCUUAGGAUUGUAAAAUUCUUUCACCGGGGACGAUAAUGACGGUACCCGGAGAAGAAGCUCCGGCUAACUUCGUGCCAGCAGCCGCGGUAAUACGAAGGGGGCUAGCGUUGCUCGGAAUUACUGGGCGUAAAGGGCGCGUAGGCGGACAGCUUAGUCAGAGGUGAAAGCCCAGGGCUCAACCUUGGAAUUGCCUUUGAUACUGGCUGUCUUGAGUUUGGGAGAGGUGAGUGGAACUCCGAGUGUAGAGGUGAAAUUCGUAGAUAUUCGGAAGAACACCAGUAGCGAAGGCGACUCACUGGCCCAAUACUGACGCUGAGGCGCGAAAGCGUGGGGAGCAAACAGGAUUAGAAACCCGAGUAGUCC
This 425-nucleotide ribosomal RNA is filed under the name uncultured bacterium. RNAcentral describes it as "partial 16S ribosomal RNA". It matches the Rfam family "Bacterial small subunit ribosomal RNA", at positions 354 to 796 of the family's 1533-position model. The record is from RNAcentral.